AAAAAAAAAAAUUUUUAAUAGGGGAUAACGUAGGGAAACUUACGCUCAUACCGCAUACGACCUACGUGUGAAAGCAGAGUAUCUUCGUACCUUGCCCGAUUGAAUGAUCCGAUGUCGGAUUAUCUAGUUGGCGGGGUAAAGGCACACCAAGGCGACGAUCCGUAGAUGGUCUGAGAGUAUGAUCAGCCACACUGGAACUGAGACACGGUCCAGACUCCUCCGGGAGGCAGCAGUUGUGAAUAUUGGACUAUGGGCGCAAGCCUGAUCCAGCCAUACCUCUUUUUUUUAGUA
Molecule: ribosomal RNA, 291 nt
Filed under: uncultured bacterium
Lineage: Bacteria
Description: partial 16S ribosomal RNA
Rfam family: Bacterial small subunit ribosomal RNA
Source: RNAcentral